UACGUAGGAGGCAAGCGUUGUCCGGAUUUAUUGGGCGUAAAGCGCACGCAGGCGGUGAGGUCAGUCUAGGGUGACAGUGUCCGGCUUAACCGGAUAAGUGCUCUGGAGACGGCCUGACUUGAGGGCUUCAGAGGGAUGUGGAAUUCCAGGUGGAGUGGUGAAAUGCGUAGAGAUCUGGAAGAACACCAAAGGCGAAGGCAACAUCCUGGGAAGCAACUGACGCUCGGGUGCGAAAGCUAGGGGAGCGAACGGG
Molecule: ribosomal RNA, 253 nt
Filed under: uncultured prokaryote
Description: partial 16S ribosomal RNA
Rfam family: Bacterial small subunit ribosomal RNA
Source: RNAcentral